This 382-nucleotide ribosomal RNA is filed under the name Tubularia sp. RNAcentral describes it as "partial small subunit ribosomal RNA". It matches the Rfam family "Eukaryotic small subunit ribosomal RNA", at positions 587 to 975 of the family's 1831-position model. Lineage: Eukaryota; Metazoa; Cnidaria; Hydrozoa; Anthoathecata; Tubulariidae. The record is from RNAcentral.
AGCUCCAAUAGCGUAUAUUAAAGUUGUUGCAGUUAAAAAGCUCGUAGUUGGAUUUCGGAACGGGCCAGUUGGUCCACCGAAAGGUGUGUUACUGACUGGUCUGUUCUUCUUCGCGAAGACUGCGUGUGCUCUUCAUUGAGUGUGUGUAGGAUUUACGACGUUUACUUUGAAAAAAUUAGAGUGUUCAAAGCAGGCUAUCGCUUGAAUACAUGAGCAUGGAAUAAUGGAAUAGGACUUUGGUCCUAUUUUGUUGGUUUCUAGGACCGAAGUAAUGAUUAAGAGGGACAAUUGGGGGCAUCCGUAUUUCGUUGUCAGAGGUGAAAUUCUUGGAUUUACGAAAGACGAACAACUGCGAAAGCACUUGCCAAGAGUGUUUUCAUUA